Unclassified non-coding RNA from Cavia aperea (Brazilian guinea pig), 297 nucleotides. Its record names the gene 7SK. It matches the Rfam family "7SK RNA". From Rfam's summary of the family: 7SK was discovered as an abundant small nuclear RNA in the mid-70s but a possible function has only recently been suggested. Two independent studies have found that 7SK RNA binds the CDK9/cyclin T complex (known as elongation factor P-TEFb). P-TEFb activates transcription by phosphorylating the C-terminal domain of RNA polymerase II. NCBI's taxonomy places the organism in Eukaryota, Metazoa, Chordata, Mammalia, Rodentia, Caviidae. The record is from Ensembl.
GAAUGUGAGGGUGCUCUAUUGUCACCCUAUUGAUCACCCAGCAUUGAUUCAGCUGAUCCAGCUGCUAGGCAGCUGUCCCCUUCCUUCUUCACCGCUCCAUGUGUCUCUCCUGAAGCUUCAGGUGCAGUCAGAGAGGAUGACUUCUCCAACAGUGGAGGACCUCCAUUCUCUGGACGGUUGUGUACCUCUGCUAGAACCUCCAAACAAAUUCUCAAAAAAUGGCAAAGAUACCGUAGAAUCACAAAAAGGGAAAAAAUAACAGCACAGAAUCCUAAGAAGCCUAGAGUAACAGUGGGA